This 728-nucleotide ribosomal RNA is filed under the name uncultured fungus. Its description in RNAcentral is "bacterial SSU rRNA". It matches the Rfam family "Eukaryotic small subunit ribosomal RNA", at positions 828 to 1550 of the family's 1831-position model. Lineage: Eukaryota; Fungi. The record is from RNAcentral.
CGUGUGGUUCUAUUUUGUUGGUUAUGGGACCGCCGUAAUGAUUAAUAGGGACAGUCGGGGGCAUCAGUAUUCAAUUGUCAGAGGUGAAAUUCUUGGAUUUAUUGAAGACUAACUACUGCGAAAGCAUUUGCCAAGGAUGUUUUCAUUAAUCAGGAACGAAAGUUAGGGGAUCGAAGACGAUCAGAUACCGUCGUAGUCUUAGCCAUAAACUAUGCCGACUAGGGAUCGGGCGAUGUUACUUUUUGACUCGCUCGGCACCUUACGAGAAAUCAAAGUUUGUGGGUUCCUGGGGGAGUAUGGUGGCAACGCUGAAACUUAAAGAAAUUGACGGAAGGGCACCACCAGGGGUGGAGCCUGCGGCUUAAUUUGACUCAACACGGGGAAACUCACCAGGUCCAGACACAAUGAGGAUUGACAGAUUGAGAGCUCUUUCUUGAUUUUGUGGGUGGUGGUGCAUGGCCGUUCUUAGUUGGUGGAGUGAUUUGUCUGCUUAAUUGCGAUAACGAACGAGACCUUAACCUGCUAAAUAGCCCGUGUUGCUUCUGCAGCACGCCGGCUUCUUAGAGGGACUAUCGGCUCAAGCCGAUGGAAGUUUGAGGCAAUAACACUUGACGCACAGGCCUGUCAAAGUACGCCUCUUUAAAGAUAACUGCUAGUCCAGCAGCUUAACCUCCGUGGGGGAAGCCCCUCACUGUCGGGCGGAGGAGUUCCGGUCGCCGGGACUCUGC